Long non-coding RNA from Zea mays, 1070 nucleotides. RefSeq lists it as uncharacterized. NCBI's taxonomy places the organism in Eukaryota, Viridiplantae, Streptophyta, Magnoliopsida, Poales, Poaceae. The transcript has 3 exons. The record is from RefSeq and is a predicted model, not a curated record.
CAACAGGCCUGAAGGAUGUGAUGCAAAACGUCGAUGCAGGUCUGGGAUGUCCGCCUCAUUAUGGAUCAAAAUUCAUGACGUUCUAAAGGUGUCGAAUGAGUACCUAUAUACUCCCUCCAUCCCAGAAAACAAGGCGCCUCAUUACACUAUUGGAAGCUGGACGACAUGGAUGACUCUGGCAAGAUGCGGUGGGAGCACGACGACAUGGAUGACUCCGACCACGAGUUCGAUAGGAAGCCUAGCAAUAGUACGCAGUAGCAAGGUUGACCAUAGGGGCAGUGGAGAGUAACCCAACACCCCCUCCUCCGACCGUCAUAACGCUUCUUUCCUCUGGCUUCAUUUCUUACCUAUGUAUGGAUGGUCUUCACCGCUGGUUACAUCUAGCAAGUCCUCCCAGGGUGACAUGAAGGAGAUUGUCAUGCUGCCAAAGCACAUCAAGGACAAUGCAAACAAGGACAGAGGAAGAUCGAACAUGCCAUUUCCAGGUGGUGACAUUUCUAUUCUCGCGCGCCCACCCAACAUUUUUGCUUUUACUAAAUGACUAUGUGCGUGAAUGCUUCGUGGAUGUUGAUAGGGAUUAUCUGUGCUUGACAAAACGGUAUCCCAGACUUGCAAUUACUCCAGAAUUUUCUAAGGUUGGGCAUUCUGUACAUUGAACUUUUGUUGCUGAUCGAUAUUAAAUGUGGCUUUUGGCAUUCUCUAUCACUCUAGCUAGGUCCUUGGAUGAGCCACACUAUUGACAUGGGUUUAGGUGAGUGACUCAUCGCGGCGCCUUUAUAUGGCUCGAUCAAUUCCAAAUUUGCUAUAGUAUGGUUGUCGCUAGAAUUUCCUCAUUUGGCAUGCAAUAAUUACAAUUGAUUUGCCUGGUACUCUGAUCAAAAUGGGAAAGUUGAGUGCUUACAUAUGUCGAUCCACAAUAUUUCUUUAUUGUCAAGGGCAGAGUUAAAGUGAAUUGUGUGGAUUCACACCAACUGCACCAUUGGAUCUCUUCUGGGUCGUUUCAUUUCAAAAAAUCCUGGCCAUAUCCCCCUCUAUCUCUGGUAAACAUAGAUUGAGGACUAGAUAGAUCA